AGUCAGCAUGCGAUGGGUUAAGAGAGGGUGGCGAAAGCCAUCAAGCCGAAAGGCCCGGAUCCUCUCUCCAUGGGCUGGCCAGCGG
Molecule: non-coding RNA, 85 nt
Filed under: Stutzerimonas stutzeri KOS6
Lineage: Bacteria; Pseudomonadati; Pseudomonadota; Gammaproteobacteria; Pseudomonadales; Pseudomonadaceae
Description: Pseudomonas stutzeri KOS6 DUF3800-VII RNA
Rfam family: DUF3800-VII RNA
Source: Rfam by way of RNAcentral